This 497-nucleotide ribosomal RNA is filed under the name uncultured bacterium. RNAcentral's name for it is "partial 16S ribosomal RNA". It matches the Rfam family "Bacterial small subunit ribosomal RNA", at positions 28 to 507 of the family's 1533-position model. The record is from RNAcentral.
GAUGAACGCUGGCGGCGUGCCUAAUACAUGCAAGUCGAGCGAACGGACGAGAAGCUUGCUUCUCUGAUGUUAGCGACGGACGGGUGAGUAACACGUGGAUAACCUACCUAUAAGACUGGGAUAACUUCGGGAAACCGGAGCUAAUACCGGAUAAUAUUUUGAACCGCAUGGUUCAAAAGUGAGAGACGGUCUUGCUGUCACUUAUAGAUGGAUCCGCGCUGCAUUAGCUAGUUGGUAAGGUAACGGCUUACCAAGGCAACGAUGCAUAGCCGACCUGAGAGGGUGAUCGGCCACACUGGAACUGAGACACGGUCCAGACUCCUACGGGAGGCAGCAGUAGGGAAUCUUCCGCAAUGGGCGAAAGCCUGACGGAGCAACGCCGCGUGAGUGAUGAAGGUCUUCGGAUCGUAAAACUCUGUUAUUAGGGAAGAACAUAUGUGUAAGUAACUGUGCACAUCUUGACGGUACCUAAUCAGAAAGCCACGGCUAACUACGUG